AGGGUCUGGAUGACGGGCUAGCUAGCGAGACGAGUCUCACAUAGCCUGGUGAUCUUGGACUGUGUGUGUUUGGACUGACGAGGACGUCAGGGCCUUAACGGGGGGAGUCUGUGACACCCCAAUAGUCCCACAUCGGAUGGAUGGGAAAGGGAUUAUCAUUGGGUUUAUAAGAGACUUAGACACUAGUAAUAAUAACUGGGCUUAAGCAUUUUGGGCUGUUGGCUGGGCCCAACGAGUUAUUAUUGCUAGUGGGCUGGGUCGUUACAGUCAUGUUCAGCAAUUUUCAACUAUCCAUUUUAAAUAAAUUUUUAAAUAAUAAUUUAUUCUUAAAUAUAGAUCUUAAGUUUUCGCCAUUGGAUCUUAUCCAACGAAUAAAAAUAAAAGUAUCUGUCAUUUUUAUUGACAAAAAUACCCUCCAUAUCCAUUAUCUUCUAUCUACGCCGCGUUUCUCAAAUAUUUUUUUUCUAUCCACCAAUCAUAUAAUACGUAAAAUUAAAUUUAUCUCUUAUCUAAUAUAAUACCCACUGAUCACGUAAUACCUCUGCUAAUCACGUAAUACGUAAAAUUAAAUUUAUUUCCUAUCCAAGCAUUUUCUCAAAUAUUUUUUUGCUCAAACGUAAUACCUACCAAUCGAGUGGUAUUCAAAAUUAAAUUUUAAAUUUGAAAUGCCCGCCAAAAUUUAAUACCUGCGAAUUUGAUAAUUUGAAUUUUAAUUCAUAAUUGUAGAUUUUUCCUUACAUAAGAUGGUAUAUUUAAUUUUGACGAGUAUUAAAAUUUAGCGCGCCAUAGAAGGGUUAAAUAUUGCUAAAAAAAUUUUAAUACCCCAAAUCAAAACUAAAUCGUUAAUUAAAUAUAAUUUUAAAUAUUUUUAGUGAAAUAUUCAAUAUUUAAAUAAUGCGUCAUAAAAGUAUAGAAUAUUUCUAAAAAAAAUUAAUGCAUGUCCAAUCAAAACUGAAUCGUUAAUUAAAUAUAAUUUCUAACUUUUUUAGCAAAAUAUUCAACAUUUAAAUAAUAUCCACCAAAAUAUUCUUCCCAUUCUCAAAUAUAGAAUAUAUCAUAAUAUCCUCGCAUAUAAUAUCUACACUAACUAAUCUUAUCUCAUCAUAAUAUUUAUCACACAAUAUAUACAUCAUAUCUUUUUUUGUUAGCAUAUCGUUUUUGGUGUUUUCUUAUUUUCACCUAUACGUUUCUUACAUAUAAAGCAUAUAUAUUUUUUAGUAGUAUCCUUUUUUAUUUUUAUCUAUAUUUUUCUCAAAUAUUUUUUAGUAAUAUCUUUUCUCAUUUGUCACAACGGUACAUCAUCAUCGUCCUACUCAUCAU
Molecule: long non-coding RNA, 1320 nt
Filed under: Ananas comosus (pineapple)
Lineage: Eukaryota; Viridiplantae; Streptophyta; Magnoliopsida; Poales; Bromeliaceae
Description: long non-coding RNA (ACOM_LNC017434)
Source: RNAcentral